RNAcentral lists this long non-coding RNA (232 nucleotides) under Sinocyclocheilus grahami. Its description in RNAcentral is "lncRNA (ENSSGRG00000020948.1)". The record is from RNAcentral. Lineage: Eukaryota; Metazoa; Chordata; Actinopteri; Cypriniformes; Cyprinidae.
GAACGGAUUCAGCGGUCCUCCUGGACGAGACGGGACAGAGGGGAAACCUGGAUACAAAGGAGAAAAGGGUGAGCGAGGGGAGUGUGGGACACCAGGAAUCAAAGGAGACAGAGUGAGUGACACUUCAGAUCUACAGUGUAGUUCAUGCACAAUAACAUGCUGUAUUUUUAACUGUCUAAAUCUGAUUCUUUAAAGGGUCCGGAGGGUCCCACUGGUAUCAGAGGAAGCAGAG